GCAAGUCUGGUGCCAGCAGCCGCGGUAAUUCCAGCUCCAAUAGCGUAUAUUAAAGUUGUUGCAGUUAAAAAGCUCGUAGUUGAACUUCAGGUCUGGUGGGCCGGUCCGCCUCACGGUGUGUACUGGUCGACUGGACCUUACCUCUUGGUGAGCCGUCAUGCCGUUUAUUCGGUGUGGCGGGGAACCAGGACUUUUACUUUGAAAAAAUUAGAGUGUUCAAAGCAGGCCUAUGCCCGAAUACAUUAGCAUGGAAUAAUAGAAUAGGACGUGCGGUUCUAUUUUGUUGGUUUCUAGGAUCGCCGUAAUGAUUAAUAGGGAUAGUUGGGGGCAUUAGUAUUCAGUCGCUAGAGGUGAAAUUCUUGGAUUGACUGAAGACUAACUACUGCGAAAGCAUUUGCCAAA
Molecule: ribosomal RNA, 402 nt
Filed under: Cystofilobasidium macerans
Lineage: Eukaryota; Fungi; Basidiomycota; Tremellomycetes; Cystofilobasidiales; Cystofilobasidiaceae
Also listed under: 1 other name
Description: SSU rRNA
Rfam family: Eukaryotic small subunit ribosomal RNA
Source: RNAcentral